GAAUUGCGAUAUGUAAUGUGAAUUGCAGAAUUCAGUGAAUCAUCGAAUCUUUGAACGCAUAUUGCACCCUCUGGUAUUCCGGAGGGUAUGCCUGUUUGAGUGUCAUCUAAUACCUCGAAACAGCAGGGUUUUAACUUUACCUUGUUGCUCGGAUUUUGAAGGUAUGCUGGUUUCCUUAUUUGGAUUCAGCUCCUUUUAAAUGCAUUAAGUAGGAUGUAAUUGUCCACGUCUGGCUAAUCAGCUUGAUAACAUGAGUUGAGCUGUGGCUGGAAUUGUGGCUUUCCUUCUUCUCAAAUUUGUCUCAAGGCUUUGCCCAUGUAGACUUGACUUUGACCAUUUGACCUCAAAUCAGGUAGGACUACCCGCUGAACUUAA
RNAcentral lists this unclassified non-coding RNA (375 nucleotides) under uncultured Agaricales. Its description in RNAcentral is "sequence contains ITS1". The stretch from base 1 to 105 matches the Rfam family "5.8S ribosomal RNA", at positions 50 to 154 of the family's 154-position model. The record is from RNAcentral. Lineage: Eukaryota; Fungi; Basidiomycota; Agaricomycetes; Agaricales.